AUACGUAGGGGGCGAGCGUUGUCCGGAAUGAUUGGGCGUAAAGGGCGCGUAGGCGGCCCGGUAAGUCUGGAGUGAAAGACCUGUUUUUAAGAUGGGAAUUGCUUUGGAUACUGUCGGGCUUGAGUGCAGGAGAGGUAAGUGGAAUUCCCAGUGUAGCGGUGAAAUGCGUAGAGAUUGGGAGGAACACCAGUGGCGCGGGGGACUUACUGGACUGUAACUGACGCUGAGGCGCGAAAGUGUGGGGAGCAAACAGGAUUAGAUACCCUGGUAGUCCACACUGUAAACGAUGAAUGCUAGGUGUAGGGGGUAUCGACCCCUUCUGUGCCGCAGUCAACACAAUAAGCAUUCCGCCUGGGGAGUACGGCCGCAAGGUUGAAACUCAAAUGAAUUGACGGGG
RNAcentral lists this ribosomal RNA (397 nucleotides) under uncultured bacterium. RNAcentral describes it as "partial 16S ribosomal RNA". It matches the Rfam family "Bacterial small subunit ribosomal RNA", at positions 523 to 918 of the family's 1533-position model. The record is from RNAcentral.